GAUGAACGCUGGCGGCGUGCCUAAUACAUGCAAGUCGAGCGAACGGACGAGAAGCUUGCUUCUCUGAUGUUAGCGGCGGACGGGUGAGUAACACGUGGAUAACCUACCUAUAAGACUGGGAUAACUUCGGGAAACCGGAGCUAAUACCGGAUAAUAUUUUGAACCGCAUGGUUCAAAAGUGAAAGACGGUCUUGCUGUCACUUAUAGAUGGAUCCGCGCUGCAUUAGCUAGUUGGUAAGGUAACGGCUUACCAAGGCAACGAUGCAUAGCCGACCUGAGAGGGUGAUCGGCCACACUGGAACUGAGACACGGUCCAGACUCCUACGGGAGGCAGCAGUAGGGAAUCUUCCGCAAUGGGCGAAAGCCUGACGGAGCAACGCCGCGUGAGUGAUGAAGGUCUUCGGAUCGUAAAACUCUGUUAUUAGGGAAGAACAUAUGUGUAAGUAACUGUGCACAUCUUGACGGUACCUAAUCAGAAAGCCACGGCUAACUACGUGCCAGCAGCCGCGGUAAUACGUAGGUGGCAAGCGUUAUCCGGAAUUAUUGGGCGUAAAGCGCGCGUAGGCGGUUUUUUAAGUCUGAUGUGAAAGCCCACGGCUCAACCGUGGAGGGUCAUUGGAAACUGGAAAACUUGAGUGCAGAAGAGGAAAGUGGAAUUCCAUGUGUAGCGGUGAAAUGCGCAGAGAUAUGGAGGAACACCAGUGGCGAAGGCGACUUUCUGGUCUGUAACUGACGCUGAUGUGCGAAAGCGUGGGGAUCAAACAGGAUUAGAUACCCUGGUAGUCCACGCCGUAAACGAUGAGUGCUAAGUGUUAGGGGGUUUCCGCCCCUUAGUGCUGCAGCUAACGCAUUAAGCACUCCGCCUGGGGAGUACGACCGCAAGGUUGAAACUCAAAGGAAUUGACGGGGACCCGCACAAGCGGUGGAGCAUGUGGUUUAAUUCGAAGCAACGCGAAGAACCUUACCAAAUCUUGACAUCCUUUGACAACUCUAGAGAUAGAGCUUUCCCCUUCGGGGGACAAAGUGACAGGUGGUGCAUGGUUGUCGUCAGCUCGUGUCGUGAGAUGUUGGGUUAAGUCCCGCAACGAGCGCAACCCUUAAGCUUAGUUGCCAUCAUUAAGUUGGGCACUCUAAGUUGACUGCCGGUGACAAACCGGAGGAAGGUGGGGAUGACGUCAAAUCAUCAUGCCCCUUAUGAUUUGGGCUACACACGUGAUACAAUGGACAAUACAAAGGGCAGCGAAACCGCGAGGUCAAGCAAAUCCCAUAAAGUUGUUCUCAGUUCGGAUUGUAGUCUGCAACUCGACUACAUGAAGCUGGAAUCGCUAGUAAUCGUAGAUCAGCAUGCUACGGUGAAUACGUUCCCGGGUCU
Molecule: ribosomal RNA, 1372 nt
Filed under: uncultured bacterium
Lineage: Bacteria
Description: bacterial SSU rRNA
Rfam family: Bacterial small subunit ribosomal RNA
Source: RNAcentral